This 184-nucleotide small RNA is filed under the name Pongo abelii (Sumatran orangutan). The record is from RNAcentral. Lineage: Eukaryota; Metazoa; Chordata; Mammalia; Primates; Hominidae.
ACUGUUAGCAGCAUAGGAUUGAGGAGUUGGAAGAGACCUUUAGAACAGCUGGUCAUUAUGCCGACCGGGUGCCUGCACUAAGUUCGGCAUCAGUGUGUUGACCUCCUGUGAGCAGGGGGCCACCAAGUUGCCUAAGGAUGGCUGAACUGGCCCAGGUCAGAAAGAGAGCAGGUCAGAACUCCCA